This 465-nucleotide ribosomal RNA is filed under the name Vreelandella stevensii. Its description in RNAcentral is "partial 16S ribosomal RNA". It matches the Rfam family "Bacterial small subunit ribosomal RNA", at positions 338 to 795 of the family's 1533-position model. The record is from RNAcentral. Lineage: Bacteria; Pseudomonadati; Pseudomonadota; Gammaproteobacteria; Oceanospirillales; Halomonadaceae.
CCUACGGGCGGCUGCAGUGGGGAAUAUUGGACAAUGGGGGCAACCCUGAUCCAGCCAUGCCGCGUGUGUGAAGAAGGCCCUCGGGUUGUAAAGCACUUUCAGUGAGGAAGAACGCCUGGUGGUUAAUACCCAUCAGGAAAGACAUCACUCACAGAAGAAGCACCGGCUAACUCCGUGCCAGCAGCCGCGGUAAUACGGAGGGUGCGAGCGUUAAUCGGAAUUACUGGGCGUAAAGCGCGCGUAGGUGGCUUGAUAAGCCGGUUGUGAAAGCCCCGGGCUCAACCUGGGAACGGCGUCCGGAACUGUCAAGCUAGAGUGCAGGAGAGGAAGGUAGAAUUCCCGGUGUAGCGGUGAAAUGCGUAGAGAUCGGGAGGAAUACCAGUGGCGAAGGCGGCCUUCUGGACUGACACUGACACUGAGGUGCGAAAGCGUGGGUAGCAAACAGGAUUAGAUACCCCAGUAGUC